Molecule: long non-coding RNA, 324 nt
Organism: Neogale vison (American mink)
Lineage: Eukaryota; Metazoa; Chordata; Mammalia; Carnivora; Mustelidae
Exons: 3
Source: RefSeq, a predicted model, not a curated record
UUCAUCGGCUUGCCCAAGUCAGCGUGGGAGGAAGAGAGAUUCUGCAGCCUUCGAAUAAAAUAUCCCACUGAGUGGCAGCGAUUACGAUGGUGAAUACAGGAGGAUACUGAGCUUGGGGAAAAGACACGGAGGGCAAUUUGGGACCUGAGCGUUAUAAAACACUGUCUCUCUGAGGAGUGACAUUGAUGCCUGAGUACAAAGCAUCUUGACAUCUGAUAAUAAAGACUUAAUCUUUGAAGAAGAAGAAGUUCAACAUUAUGCAGAGGAGACAAUGAUACUCUUUCUAGUUGGGGAAGGGAGGCCCAUCGAAGAGAGAGCAAGAGG